This 497-nucleotide ribosomal RNA is filed under the name uncultured bacterium. Its description in RNAcentral is "partial 16S ribosomal RNA". It matches the Rfam family "Bacterial small subunit ribosomal RNA", at positions 28 to 507 of the family's 1533-position model. The record is from RNAcentral.
GAUGAACGCUGGCGGCGUGCCUAAUACAUGCAAGUCGAGCGAACAGACGAGGAGCUUGCUCCUCUGACGUUAGCGGCGGACGGGUGAGUAACACGUGGAUAACCUACCUAUAAGACUGGGAUAACUUCGGGAAACCGGAGCUAAUACCGGAUAAUAUAUUGAACCGCAUGGUUCAAUAGUGAAAGACGGUUUUGCUUUCACUUAUAGAUGGAUCCGCGCCGCAUUAGCUAGUUGGUAAGGUAACGGCUUACCAAGGCAACGAUGCGUAGCCGACGUGAGAGGGUGAUCGGCCACACUGGAACUGAGACACGGUCCAGACUCCUACGGGAGGCAGCAGUAGGGAAUCUUACGCAAAGGGCGAAAGCCUGACGGAGCAACGCCGCGUGAGUGAUGAAGGUCUUCGGAUCGUAAAACUCUGUUAUUAGGGAAGAACAAAUGUGUAAGUAACUAUGCACGUCUUGACGGUACCUAAUCAGAAAGCCACGGCUAACUACGUG